Molecule: ribosomal RNA, 472 nt
Filed under: uncultured bacterium
Lineage: Bacteria
Description: partial 16S ribosomal RNA
Rfam family: Bacterial small subunit ribosomal RNA
Source: RNAcentral
GACGAACGCUGGCGGCGUGCUUAACACAUGCAAGUCGAACGCUGAAGCUUGGUGCUUGCACUGGGUGGAUGAGUGGCGAACGGGUGAGUAAAACGUGAGUAACCUGCCCUUGACUCUGGGAUAAGCCUGGGAAACUGGGUCUAAUACUGGAUACGACAUGCCACUGCAUGGUGGUGUGUGGAAAGGGUUUUACUGGUUUUGGAUGGGCUCACGGCCUAUCAGCUUGUUGGUGGGGUAAUGGCCUACCAAGGCGACGACGGGUAGCCGGCCUGAGAGGGUGACCGGCCACACUGGGACUGAGACACGGCCCAGACUCCUACGGGAGGCAGCAGUGGGGAAUAUUGCACAAUGGGCGGAAGCCUGAUGCAGCGACGCCGCGUGAGGGAUGACGGCCUUCGGGUUGUAAACCUCUUUCAGCACGGAAGAAGCGAGAGUGACGGUACGUGCAGAAGAAGCGCCGGCUAACUACGUG